CAUCCUCAAAACCUUCUUGGUUUCUUGACUAGGAAGGCUUUGGACUCUGGAGGUUCUUGCUGGCCUUUCCUUUGUUGAAGCCAGCUCCUCUGAAAUGAAUUAGUGGGAUCUGCUUUGCAAAUCCUUGACGUGAUAAGAUAUUUCUACGUCUUGGGUUUCGCACUGUUCGCUCUAGAUCCUGCUUCUAACCGUCUCAUAGAAGACAAAUGGGUUGAGUGAUUGACACUUGGCCCACAAACC
This 240-nucleotide unclassified non-coding RNA is filed under the name uncultured Gymnomyces. RNAcentral's name for it is "sequence contains ITS2". The record is from RNAcentral. Lineage: Eukaryota; Fungi; Basidiomycota; Agaricomycetes; Russulales; Russulaceae.